GCUUUUUUUUGUUUUGUUUUGUUGAUGAGUUCGCUUCUGGCAGAACGGUGCAGCUGUCUAGUAUAGCACGCCCUAGCUGUGUAUGCGAAACCGAAUAAACUUUAGCGUAGGGCCCAACCUUACCUAAGGUUAUGAUUUUCGUACUGAAUAAUUUUACAUUGGGUAUUUGCCAUUUAAAGUCGCAAAGCAAGAUACGAAGGUAACCUGGCAAGUGUCGCGCGUCUUGUCGCGGUCUCCGUAGCACAACUGCGUGCUGUUGUCGAACCCGUCGAGCAGGUGGCGGUGCGGAGGGUAGUGCGUCAAGCACUCCUCGGCGGUGAACUCGCUCACUUCAACCUAGUAUAGAAUGAUUGACAAGACAAGUCCCACACUAUUGUGGCGGGUAGCCACCAUAGAACAAAAAACUAACUCGAGAACGGCUGGACGAUUUGGCUAAUUUUGGUCUUGAAUUAUUUGUGGAAGUCCAGAGAAGGUUUAAAAAGUAGAUAAAUAUGAAAAGGCUCGGAAUAAAAAAAAAUUACAAUUUUGUUUUUCCUUUCAUGUGUCCCUCGUCGGACGGAUUCCUUUUGUUUGUUUUAAGCUUCGAACUAUUAUUGAUCGAAGGUUUUAAGUUUAUUUUAUACAAAAGUUUAGGUUUAGGUAUUCGGUUGAGGCACCACGAAGUCUGCCGGGUCAGCUAGUCGAAAAUAAAUUAAAUAAAAAUUCAAUUUCAUUUACAAGAUUCAAGUAAAGCUUAAAAUUAGAUAUCACAAACAAUAUUAUCAAAUAAUUCUAAAACUUUGAUUCUGAUCUGCGUCGAGCGUGACGCGACGUGGUCACGCGGCACACGAGCCGGUCUUCCUUAAGGAAAAUCAACUUGUGCUGUUCACGAAACCAGUUAUUAUAAGUAUUAGUAACGCUAUUUAUUGUAUUUGUUUAUUUCUGUAGGUGGCAGAUGAGCUCACGGAACAUUACAUAAUUUCCACUCACGUUAUCAAACGGCUCCUGUAUCAAACUCACUCCUGGUACAUAGUACUCCAAGAUGAGAGAAUCGCAGCGUUUGGCGAGCACGCACGUGCCAUUGUGCUCGUCCCGGAGACACCAGGCCCCUGCGGCGCGGCGCGCACUCACACUCACUGUACACAGCGUAGGUAUACAGAGAACAGAGGUCAGAGGCACGUGACAAAUGUCAUCGCAGCUAAAAUAGAAUAGUUGACAAACUCUUGAAG
Long non-coding RNA from Bombyx mori (domestic silkworm), 1208 nucleotides. RefSeq lists it as uncharacterized. NCBI's taxonomy places the organism in Eukaryota, Metazoa, Arthropoda, Insecta, Lepidoptera, Bombycidae. The record is from RefSeq and is a predicted model, not a curated record. The transcript has 2 exons.